This 250-nucleotide ribosomal RNA is filed under the name uncultured prokaryote. RNAcentral's name for it is "partial 16S ribosomal RNA". It matches the Rfam family "Bacterial small subunit ribosomal RNA", at positions 524 to 773 of the family's 1533-position model. The record is from RNAcentral.
UACGUAGGGGGCAAGCGUUGUCCGGAAUGAUUGGGCGUAAAGGGCGCGUAGGCGGCCCGGUAAGUCUGAAGUGAAAGUCCUGGUUUUAAGUUGGGAAUUGCUUUGGAUACUGUCGGGCUUGAGUGCAGGAGAGGUAAGUGGAAUUCCCAGUGUAGCGGUGAAAUGCGUAGAGAUUGGGAGGAAUACCAGUGGCGAAGGCGACUUACUGGACUGUAACUGACGUUGAGGCUCGAAAGCGUGGGGAGCAAAC